Danio rerio (zebrafish) is the source of this 1611-nucleotide non-coding RNA. The record is from RefSeq and is a predicted model, not a curated record. Lineage: Eukaryota; Metazoa; Chordata; Actinopteri; Cypriniformes; Danionidae.
CUCAUGCUCUUCCUUGUUUGCUUAUUUCUUGCAACUUUUCUCAUUUUGACCUUUCUCAAAGGCCUCUCGCUCUUCCUGUGCCUUGACCUGUCAAGUUUUUCAACUGCUUUUUUGCUCCUUUUUCCUCUGAGCAAAGGUUUAUAUUCUGGAAAACUUCUGGCUGGUGUUGUGGAUUCUGCUCCCAAACUCGUCUCUCUUGGAAAAAGUAGUGGAUUAUCUGAACCAUGAGGAAUGUGUCGCGGAGGGCAAAGGGCAAAUGGACUACAGCAACUUGGAUUUGUACUUGAACUUGGAUUACCACAAACCUGAGGAAAAACUGUGUUCUCGCUUAUAAGGGAUUAAUGCAGCUCUUUUGGUGGACCUGGAUGUCUUUUCUGUCAGUUUUUCAACAUGAAACGGCAAAAUUGGUUGCUUAAAUUCCAUCAUUCUCUUUUCUUCUCUACUUUGAAAUUAUUCAUGGAGUUAAAUAUAUUGACAGGUUUUGACGAGGCUGUUUCCGUCGUAAGUUACUUUUUAAAAUAAACUCAUGACUUUGAAUUAAGGUAUGCCACCGUGCCACGACAUUUUGAAUAAACAUGAUUGGAAUUUACAGCUACAUCUACAACUUGUGCCAUGAAGACAAACUUUAAAAUGUCAUUUUCUGAGUGGAAAAACAGGAUUUAAAAAAUAUAUAAAUAUAGCAGAACUUCUGGUGCUGCUUGAUGACACUCAAAUAAAUCACCAGCUAUCAACAAUGGGCGUUGGCAUGGGAACCUGCCCCUGGCUGCUACCUGAAUGAGGGCGCAGGGCCUCUGCGAACAGCGCAGUCAAAGGAGUGACCCAGCAGGCUGCACAUUUUUACCUACAGCCGUAUCCAUGACAACAGCCUCAUGCCCACAACCAUUGAACACUUGAUUGACAGAUGUCCAAAUGUCAACCACUCCCUCUCAGGAGAUUUGGGACAUCCAGCUCCAGUCCGCCACGCUUUGUCUUUAAUUUGAGAGAUUUGGCAAGUUACCACAAACAAGGCUGGUGAAGUUGAUGUAUUUGAUGGCAGACUUGGAGAGCAAAGGAGGACCUCUUUGGACUUAAAAGCCCCCACACGCUUUUAGAUUUGACCCCACAAUUUUUCUUUCCUUUUGGUCUCAUGUCCUCAUCUCUCUCUUUUUUUGUGCAUCUUAAAUAUACGAGGCAGCAGACAGCUCUGGACAGAGAUAUGAGGAGCCUUCAAAGGCGUGUUGUGACUGCUGUUUCAUCUCAGUACAAAGGGUUAUGCCGAAAUGUGUUCCGCCUUUCAGUAUAUUUUGCAUUUAUGCUAAUGAUGCAUAAAUCGACAGUGCGCUUUUCUCUGCACUACCAUAUGAAUCUGUAAACAAACCGAGGAAGUUAAGCCGUCAAAUUUAAUUUCACUUUUACCAUGAGCUGCGUCCGAGAAUCGUCUUGACGUGUUGAUCUUAAAUUCCAAAAAUAUUUUUUUAUUUUAUUUUGUCUGUUAAAAUAAAUUUUUUCAUCAACAUUGAGCCAUUCAAGUUCAUCCUAAACCAAUCAAACGAGUCACUAAUGAAUAAUGUUACCAUUUGAAUAACCUAGACAUAUACAUUCACCUGCCACUUUAUUAGGUACACUGUCCAA